CCUACGGGAGGCUGCAGUAGGGAAUAUUGCUCAAUGGGGGAAACCCUGAAGCAGCAACGCCGCGUGGAGGAUGAAGGUUUUAGGAUUGUAAACUCCUUUUGUUAGAGAAGAUUAUGACGGUAUCUAACGAAUAAGAACCGGCUAACUCCGUGCCAGCAGCCGCGGUAAUACGGAGGGUGCAAGCGUUACUCGGAAUCACUGGGCGUAAAGAGUGCGUAGGCGGGGUAAUAAGUCAGAUGUGAAAUCCUGUAGCUUAACUACAGAACUGCAUUUGAAACUGUUACUCUGGAGUGUGGGAGAGGUAGGUGGAAUUCUUGGUGUAGGGGUAAAAUCCGUAGAGAUCAAGAGGAAUACUCAUUGCGAAGGCAGCAUACCGGCGCUCAACUGACGCUCAUGCACGAAAGCGUGGGUAUCGAACAGGAUUAGAUACCCGAGUAGUC
RNAcentral lists this ribosomal RNA (440 nucleotides) under uncultured bacterium. RNAcentral's name for it is "partial 16S ribosomal RNA". It matches the Rfam family "Bacterial small subunit ribosomal RNA", at positions 338 to 795 of the family's 1533-position model. The record is from RNAcentral.